AGCCCCGUGGUGAGAUCACAUUAGGUUGCAAACCUAAAGACGCAAACCACCCGUUUGCCGGGGCUU
Molecule: transfer RNA, 66 nt
Filed under: Barilius bendelisis (Hamilton's barila)
Lineage: Eukaryota; Metazoa; Chordata; Actinopteri; Cypriniformes; Danionidae
Description: tRNA-Cys
Source: RNAcentral